Molecule: non-coding RNA, 5129 nt
Organism: Rattus norvegicus (Norway rat)
Lineage: Eukaryota; Metazoa; Chordata; Mammalia; Rodentia; Muridae
Source: RefSeq, a predicted model, not a curated record
UAUAUAAGUAAAUAAAUAUUAUUUACAUAUACACAUGUAUAUAUACAUAUAUAAACACAUACAUAUAUAAAAUAUAUACAUAUAUUAAGUAUAUACAUAUACACAUAUGUGUGUGAGUGUGUUGUGUGAGUGUGUGUGCAUGUGCAUGUGUGUGUGUGUAUCUGUGUGUAUGUGUGUGUAUCUGUGUGUGUAUGUGUGUAUGUGUGUAUUGUGUGUGUAUGUGUGUGUAUGUAUGUGUGUAUGUGUGUGUCUGUGUGUGUGUCUGUGUGUGUGUCUGAAUGUGUCUGUGUAUGUAUGUAUUUGUGUGUGUGUAUCUGUGUGUGUAUGUGUGUAUGUGUGUGUAUGUAUGUGUGUAUGUGUGUGUGUAUGUGUGUGUCUGUGUGUGUCUGAGUGUGUCUGUGUAUGUAUGUAUUUGUGUGUGUGUGUAUCUGUGUGUGUAUGUGUGUAUGUGUGUGUGUAUGUAUGUGUGUAUGUGUGUGUGUAUGUGUGUGUCUGUGUGUGUGUCUGAGUGUGUCUGUGUAUGUAUGUAUUUGUGUGUGUAUGUGUGUCUGUGUCUGUGUGUGCAUGUGUGUGUCUGUGUCUAUGUGUAUCUGUGUGUGUCUGUGUGUGUAUGUGUAUGUGUGUGUGUGUGUGUAUGUAUGUGUGUGUAUAAAACAAUGCUGAGCAGUAGCAUUCAUUCUCUUGUCCUCCUGAUUGUGGCUACAACGUGACCAGCUGUCUCCUGCUCCCACUGUGUUCCUUCCUCACCACGAAGACUGUACCCUCAAACUGUGAGCCAAAAACAAGCUCUUCCCCUUUGUUUGCUUUAGUCAAACAUCCAAUAACAGGGAUGAAAAGUCACUGACACACCACACACUGGGUAUGUCACUUGCCUCUCUGUGCUGUCAUGUCUGUGGUGCAGAGAGGCCACAGAGAGUGAAGUAAAACAGAAGCAAUCUCACUAAGGGUCUGGCUUCGAGAAGACAGCGCUCAGUAAGUACGGUUCCCAUAGAACCCCCGUGUGGUCCCCAGAAGCUCAGCUUUCCUCUUGGUCAUCACAGACUUGGACAGAGCAUCUUACAACAGUAUCCGCACAUCAUCUAGUCGAUGGGACGACACUGACUAAUGAAGGGGACUGUGUGUGCCAGACUCUCAGUGCUUCUCCGUGAUGGCUGUGUCUCUGAAUCCUUCUCCCUGGACCCAUCAGCACCCCCUCCAUCCUUCUACAAGUUGUCUGCAAGGAGAUGCUGCUCUUGCCUGUUUGCGCCUACCUGAUGAAUGGAUGAUGUCGGAAUGUACUCACCCCUAAAUCUACUUUAUAACCUCCUAAUGACGCUCAUUCGGUGUCUCUAACUUCUGUAAAAGGAAAAGAAUUUCGCUUCUGGCGGAGAUGGUACUCAGCCGCUGAUGGCGCUGAGGCCGUCCCCUGAGAAGACCCCUUCCCUUCUUUCCAUAAAUGCCUUCCCCAAGGCCUUGCUUGUCAUACCAGGGUGAGAUUCCUCCAAAGAAAUGCUGUUAUCCACAUCAGAUAUCAGCACAGAAUUCCCAACACCUCUGAGCCUCUUCAUGGCCCAGUCCUUUAGAGUCUACUUUGGCAGCAAACGGGAGUUUGAGCUGGUGUGUGGUACUAAGAGAGAGAGAGAGAGAGAGAGAGAGAGAGAGAGAGAGAGAGAGAGAGAGAGAGCGUCAGUGCUAUUGUUAGCUUUACCUGUGUAAACCAGUGUGUUCCCUCGAGUAACCACAAGAGCACUUGCUGUUAUAGGCGACGUCUGACCCCUCCCACAUACUCAGCUAAACCUUAUGGCUACUCAGGGAGACGUGGCCUGUGCUCACUGGAUGCUUCAAGAAGGUGCGGGAUGUCCCAGAACAUGAGGUGCCAGUGUCGGUGGGCUGGACAUAUCCCAGGUAUUGACUUUGCUCACCAGCAUGCUGGUGCCCUAGGAAGGACCUGGCUUUGAUCCAGCCCUCGCUGGAAAAGUCUGGACAUAAAAUAAGUACACCAGCUAAGGACAGUUUGGAAUAAGAUAAACAUUCAACAGCCCCUUAUCAACGGGACAUAAACAUCUAUGUUUCAGAAAGAAAACGAAAACACUUUUGGAAAGAAGACAGGUCCUGACUUUAUUCAAACAAUGCUAUCUGCCCAGAUAAGCAGGGAAAUAGGAUCCUACAGCUCUGCCUGCUGUGUGCUCUCUCCUACGCGUGCCGGAUCCCUUUAAACUCCGCCGGGAACAAUAAGUUGUUUUCUUUCCUUGUCUGCUCAUUUUAUGAUCUAGUUCUCAAGUAACUGAUUAUAUGUUGGACAUAAAAGUGAGAUAUUUAUUUUCAAAUGCGACUGCAUACUGCUGCUGACACAUUUACUAUCAGGGAGAUUGAAUUAUUUUUAAGGCUGCUGUUUUGAAAUGUCUCUUGUAUGUUGAACUUAUAUUGUGUUUCCUAUCGUGUCGAGCACUCAGAAAGUGUCAGGAGAUAGAAACCGGCUCAAGUCUGUUCCCGCUUCUGGAAGAACUUUUCUGCAUACACUGGCUAUAGAUGGGGAUGGAACCCGCCAGCCUCCCUUCACACAUCUCCUUCCAGAUUCUCCCCGGCUCGCUGAGAAACCUGUUCUCGUCGCUUCAGUCACACAGAUGGCAUGCUAACCGUGCUGGGACAGAGCGCACAGUGAGCAGACUUAACAAAGAGUGACACAAGGCAACAGAGGAACCCACAACGUCUUGCCUGGCACCAUCAUGACGGGACACACCAAGACCUGCUGGGUCUGCCGCCACGCAUCUGCAAUCUCAGCACCGGGAGACAGAGACAGGAGGAUCCUGGGGCUCACUGUCCUCUCACACAGCUGGAGCAGUGAGGUCCAGGGUCAGUGAGAGAUCAAAGAAGGAGCUGGGGAUCGAACCCAGGGCCUUGCGCUUGCUAGGCAAGUGCUCUACUGCUGAGCUAAAUCCUCAACCCCCAAAGAAAAUUCUUAGAUCUAAAAGAUUCAAAGGCCAAACAGCAGGAGAAAGAGAAGAAAAUGUGCCAGGGGCCCCAGCGCACCGCUUCCAUGAGCUAUUGACAAGCUGUGGCCUCCAGGGGAAGGGAAGCCAUUUUCUUUAGUAGUGUAGCUACUGGGGAAAACCAGGAGAGGAGUAUCGUGACAUCCUUCAGGACACCAUUGAGAAACAGAUGACCUUCAAGGCUUCAAACAGGGAUGACAUACAGGUCAUGCACAGAGAACUCCAAUGGGGUAUCAGGCUUCCCACUGUGGGUGAGACAGCUGAUUUAACUCCAGAGUGUCAAGCUGAGGGUGGGCACUUGGGGGGGGCACUGAUCUUUUAUAGAUAUUUAGAAUUCACUCACACACACGCACACACACUGAUUUUAGAACCUCCCAUGAAACAAAUGAAGACAGUGGGAGAGGCUGAAUGGGUCCAGAGCUAUUAGUGUGGUCCUCUGAUUUCAAAGAAGAAGUGAUAAUAGAAGCGUAAGGAGUCAGGAUGCAGCCCUGUGAUGCUAGCACUCGAGAAACUGAGAGAGGAAGAGCAGAAGUUCAAGGUCAUCUACAAGGUUAGCUAUAUAGUGAGUUCCUCAGGUACUAGUAAGGUUAAGUUAGAGAGCCUCAUGGCAUCCAGGAAGCAAUGAAAGAAACAGUGGCCAGGGAAAAGACACGCUUCUGGACAGCAAGCCUUCAACACUGGAAGCUCUGGAUGUUAGAAUAUUAUGGUUUGGAUAUGAAUCACAAACAUGUAUGUAUGUAUGUAUGUGUAUUGAUUUUAGAACAUGUCAUGACAAUAGAGGAUAUUGAAUGAGUCGAGAGUUACUAAUGCGGUCCCCUAGUUUCAAAGAGGGGAUGUCCCUCAAAAGGCUCAUACUGAAAGCUUGGUCCCAAGCUAGUUAGAGGAAGCAGUCACUGGGAAAUGACUUUUACCCUGAGGGCUCUGACCUCAUUAGUGGGUUGAUGGGUCCUCAGUCUGACAGUGUGAUUGAGAAGAGAGGCCUGAUCAGAGGAAAUAGGGUGGCAAUGGUGUGUCUUUGAUCGAUGCCUAGUCCUGGUUCCUUCCCCACCCCCCUCCCUCUCCCUCUCCCUUCCUGGCUCUUGUAAGGCAAGCAGCUUCCUCCACCACACCCAACUGCUGCCUGAUGUCCUGCCUCACUUCUGCCCCAAAGCAACUGGAGCCAACUGUGCAUGAACUGCAACCACGAGACAAAUAAAUCUGCCCUCCAUUUGCUGCUGUGUUGUUGUGUCCUGUUGGAAAAUGACCAAUACGGAGACACUCAAGAUGCCAACCGUAGCCAACACUUAAGACUGUUCAGAGGGCAGGAGAGAGCUAAGGGAGCUGCAAUUUCUGUUCUCCACUCAGAAUACCAGGGCAGAGGUCAAGCAGUUUAAAUAAGGAGAUGUACUCAAAAACAGAGAAGGCUAAUCAAGAGCUACACAAAAGACAAGGCACUUGGGGUCGAUGAGAUGGCUCAACAGUUAAGAGCACUGGAUGCUCUUCCAGAAGAUCCAGGUUCCAUUCCCAGUGCCCACAAGACAGGCUCAUGGCCGUCUGUACCUCUGCUCCUAGGGGAUCUGUGAUGGUUUGUCUAUGCUUGGCCCAGGGAGUAGCACUAUUAGAGUGGAUGUGGCCUUGUUAGAGUGGGUGUAGCUUUGUUGGAGUAGGUGUAGGUGUGGGCUUAAGACCCUCACCCUAGCUGCCUGGAAGUGAGUAUUCUGUUAGCCUUCAGAUGAAGAUGUAGAACUCUCACUUCCUCCAGCCCCACAUCUGACUGCCUGAAUGCUGUCAUGCUCCCACCUUGGGAUGGACUGAACCUCUGAAUCUGUAAGCCAGUUCCAAUAAAUGUUGUCCUUAUAAGAGUUGCCUUGGUCAUGGUGUCUGUUCACAGCAGUAAAACCCUAACUAAGACAGAAUCUGAUGCAUUUCUCUGGUCUCUACAGGCACUGGGGCCUGCAAGUGGCACACAGAUAUGCAUGCAGACAAAACACUUAUACAUAUAAAAAUAAAAAUAGGGGCUGGGGAUUUAGCUCAGUGGUAAAGCGCUUGCCUAGCAAGCACAAGGCCCUGGGUUCAGUCCCCAGCUCCGAAAAAAAGAAAAAAAAAUUUUAAAGGACUCAUUAAAAAAAAAACACAAGGAACCUACAAAAAAGUGAAAAGAAAAAUGAAAAAGAAAAUAGA